GGGGGAAAACAAUGAAUAAAACAGCCCAUGACUCGUAGCCACUUCAUACUCCGACUUUUCUUCCUGAAGGAGAGUAUAUAAAAGCUUCCAAAGAUGCUCCAGCCCUACUGCCUCUGUAGUUGCUAUGGACAAGAUACACUGAUACUCAAAAGCUGUUCUACCCUACCUGUCACCCUUUCAUAGUAUCCAGCCUGGUUAUUUGAACUAAACACUGAGGAAUUGUGUACUUUUUAAGUGAAUUUGACAGAAUUUGUUCUCAUGUUAGAAGUCCUACUGUGCAAGCUCUAUAUUUUUAAAUACCCAACCAGGAAAAGAAUCUGAAUGGUCAGACUCUAUGUCAUGUCUUAUGAAGAAACUGGAGGAAUUGAAUUUAGAUAUUGAAGAAGCUCUGAGUGCUGGCUCUUCUCCCUCCAGUACUCCUUCUGCCAAAAGGCACAAGCUACUGACUGAAAAAGCCCUUCAGACAUCCAAGAGCCAAUUUCACUACAAGAGAUGGAGAGGUCAUGUACCACAAAGGUUUUCCUGCCCAGACCAGCAACAUCAGGCCAAGAGAGUCAGGAACAAUCUGUUGUGGAACUGAUGGUAGGACACCAUUUGCUGUCUCAUGCAAAGUGCCCUGUUCAAGUGGAGACUGGCUUUUAUGGAGAUCAUCAAGGAAAGAGAUCUUGGAAAAAUAGAAGAGCAGGCUACCAGGAUCUAGAUUGUUCAUCUAGCCCAGUGUCAGCUGGAGCACGACCAAAAACUGAUCCAGGUGGGAAUCAAAACUACAUUCUCCCUUUCCUGGCUAUAGAAGACUUUGGGGGAGAAAAAUCCUCCAGCCUCUCUGUCCCGAGUGGAGUCUCUGAGAUGAAGGAUGGAAGAGAGCUGGCACUGGGGCACGUGCAGGUACGGUAGAGCCUGGCACU
This 905-nucleotide long non-coding RNA is filed under the name Apteryx owenii (little spotted kiwi). RNAcentral describes it as "lncRNA (ENSAOWG00000006571.1)". The record is from RNAcentral. Lineage: Eukaryota; Metazoa; Chordata; Aves; Apterygiformes; Apterygidae.